Equus caballus (horse) is the source of this 580-nucleotide long non-coding RNA. RefSeq lists it as uncharacterized. The record is from RefSeq and is a predicted model, not a curated record. Lineage: Eukaryota; Metazoa; Chordata; Mammalia; Perissodactyla; Equidae.
GAACAGCUAGGAGGCAGUGUAGCUGGAGGGGAUGAAGCUAAGGGGAUACUUGUAGGAUAUGAAGUCACACAGUUGAUGACACAAGUGGGGCCAGAUAUGUCAAGCUUUCCAAGACAUUUCGAAAACCGUUACUCUGAGUAAAAUGGGAGCCAUUGCAGAGUUUCAGGCAGGACUUGGACUGGCCCUGAUCAGGUUUGGCCCCAUGACAGGAAGACUGAAGGGCAACCAGCAAUAGCUACAAGACAUAUAGCAGGAGCAUGCUCAGAAGAUGGAAACCUUCUUCUCAGAUGACCUCGAGCUGUCUAAGAACCAAAAAUUCCCAAACUACAGAACUCAAUGUAAAGAGAAAGCAGAACAGGGAAUCUAAUAAGAAACGAGGGGCCCCUUGCUUUGUAGCACAUCAGACUUAUAAGACUGUUACACUCUCAUCCCCCAAUCAGAUUCCACCAAGUUAACAUUUGUAUAACCACUCCCACUCCCAACUCCUUAAAAGUCUGUCCCUGCUCAGCUUGGGGAGAUAGACUUGAGCCUUGCCUCCUGUCUCUUUGCAGGUCCACCAUGCAAUAAAGCUCUUUCAUCU